CAGGCUUAACACAUGCAAGUCGAGGGGCAGCAUGGUCUUAGCUUGCUAAGGCCGAUGGCGACCGGCGCACGGGUGAGUAACACGUAUCCAACCUGCCGUCUACUCUUGGACAGCCUUCUGAAAGGAAGAUUAAUACAAGAUGGCAUCAUGAGUCCGCAUGUUCACAUGAUUAAAGGUAUUCCGGUAGACGAUGGGGAUGCGUUCCAUUAGAUAGUAGGCGGGGUAACGGCCCACCUAGUCUUCGAUGGAUAGGGGUUCUGAGAGGAAGGUCCCCCACAUUGGAACUGAGACACGGUCCAAACUCCUACGGGAGGCAGCAGUGAGGAAUAUUGGUCAAUGGGCGAGAGCCUGAACCAGCCAAGUAGCGUGAAGGAUGACUGCCCUAUGGGUUGUAAACUUCUUUUAUAAAGGAAUAAAGUCGGGUAUGGAUACCCGUUUGCACGUACUUUAUGAAUAAGGAUCGGCUAACUCCGUGCCAGCAGCCGCGGUAAUACGGAGGAUCCGAGCGUUAUCCGGAUUUAUUGGGUUUAAAGGGAGCGUAGAUGGAUGUUUAAGUCAGUUGUGAAAGUUUGCGGCUCAACCGUAAAAUUGCAGUUGAUACUGGAUAUCUUGAGUGCAGUUGAGGCAGGCGGAAUUCGUGGUGUAGCGGUGAAAUGCUUAGAUAUCACGAAGAA
RNAcentral lists this ribosomal RNA (674 nucleotides) under uncultured bacterium. RNAcentral describes it as "bacterial SSU rRNA". It matches the Rfam family "Bacterial small subunit ribosomal RNA", at positions 43 to 706 of the family's 1533-position model. The record is from RNAcentral.